GUAAUCCUUCCACUAUAUCGCUAUAUGAUAUUAUGCUUUUGUGCCUCUCUCUCUCUCUCUCUCUCUCCAUAUAUAUACAUUUAAUCUAUUAUUCCCUACUGGGUUCUGCUGUAGAAUAAUCCACAGGAAAGAUAAUAUGUUGCCCCCCAAAACUAAUUUUAAAAUCCUUUUUUCUCAAAGUGGGACCCACUGACCCUGGCUUAGUACAGCUCUCUCAGAAUGUCCCAAGGCUUGUGGACCAGUAUGCCCUUCAUGGAAGGUGUAUGCAGAAGUGGUUACAGCCAAGUUCGGAAGGAAUUGCACAUAACAUUAAAGAGGUCAGUGUCUGUCCACAGGCAACGGGAGCCACAGAAGCCUUCUGAGCUGAGGAUUGAUGGGUGAUGGGAUGAUAUCACCAGCCACGACCUCUGGAAAGAGCAGGGUCCCUCCAAAGCUGGAGGCUAGAUGACUUCAUCCUCAGUCCCACUCCAAACUUCCUUCCCCAUCCCACCUCCUCUUUU
RNAcentral lists this long non-coding RNA (500 nucleotides) under Marmota monax (woodchuck). Lineage: Eukaryota; Metazoa; Chordata; Mammalia; Rodentia; Sciuridae. The record is from RNAcentral.